RNAcentral lists this long non-coding RNA (7939 nucleotides) under Olea europaea (common olive). RNAcentral describes it as "long non-coding RNA (OEUR_LNC011715)". The record is from RNAcentral. Lineage: Eukaryota; Viridiplantae; Streptophyta; Magnoliopsida; Lamiales; Oleaceae.
AUACAUUGAUCUUGAACAAAGCUGUUAUAAUUGAGUUGCCGGAAUCCAUAGGAUUGUUGGAGAAUCUGAUUGUCUUAAGAUUGAAUCAGUGCAAGAAACUAUGCAGAUUGCCUGCUUCAUUUGGAAACUUGAAAAACUUGUAUCACCUGUUUAUGGAGGAAACUGCCAUUACUGAAUUACCUGAAACGUUUGGGAUGCUUUAUAAUCUGAGGACGUUGAAAAUGGCAAAGAAGCCCUACGGCCAGGCCCCUCAGAUUUCUCUCGUAUCAGAGCCAGCUACUAGUGCAGAGAGAAAGAUAAUUCCAUCUUCUUUCUCGAAUCUUUCCUUGUUGGUCGAAUUCAAUGCUCGUGCAUGGAAGAUAUCGGGGAAGAUACCUGAUGAUUUUGAGAAGUUAUUAUCUUUAGAGAUUUUGAAUUUGAGUCACAAUGAUUUUCAUAGUCUUCCAUCCAAUAUGAGACCUCUCCGUGUUCUCAAAAAGCUCGAUUUAUCCCACUGCAAAUUGCUCAAAGUUCUUCCUCCACUUCCCGGGAGUUUGCAGGAUCUAAAUGCUGCAAAUUGUACUUCUCUGGAAAGCAUUUCUGAUCUCUCAAAUUUGCAGUAUUUAAUUGAGAUGGAAUUCACCAAUUGUGAGAAACUAAUGGACUUUCCAGGCGUUGAAAAUUUGAUGUCCUUGAGAAGGUUGUACAUGGGAGGCUGCAGUAACCGUGCCUCAGCAUUGAUACAGAAACUUGACAAGGUAUCUAACCAUCUAUCCCUCUCCCCCUUAAUUUAUGCAUGUGUAAAUCCUCUUAGAUUACAAUCAGUCAAGUCAUCGUCCCCCUUGUGCUCUGGGCUAUCCACGAUCUAAAAUAGCUGGACAAGGGGUCAUUUUACUUGUUUCAGUUUCACUUAUGGUUUAUGAAUAUGAAUUAUUAAAGGUAUGCAUCUGAGUCACGAUAAUUUAAUUUGCUACAAUUUUUCGAUGCAGGUUGCGCUGAGAAAUUUAUACAAUUUAUGCAUACCGGGAAGUGAAAUACCAGACUGGUUUACUCGAGAUGAGAUUCGCUUUUCUAGAAAGAAAAAUGAGGCAAUAAGGAGUGUGAUUAUUGCUGUUGUCGUCUCAAAGAACUCUCAAAUCACCCAGGAUUCAACAUUCGAUGAGUUGCCUGUUAUGGCUGAAAUCGAAGGAAAGAUUCUCAGAGUAACCAGAGCAGUUUACAGUCAUGCACCGAACUUAAGAGGAAUCCCAAAUACAGAUGAUGAUCAACUUUAUUUGUGCAGAUAUCCUGAUUAUCAUCCAUUAGUUUCCAUUCUAGAAAACGACGACAGAAUACAGGUCGUAAGGCGCAAUCCUCCAUUUGAUCCAAGAAUUAUGCUGAAGAAAUGUGGGAUUCAUUUAGUUUAUGAAAAUGAUGACGAUUAUGAUGGCAACGAAGAAUCGUUGGAUGAAAAUUUACAAACGGUGUCCCACAGAAUAAAGAAGAUUUUUUACUCUCCUGAGGGACACAACACUAGCUCAAACUCUACUCAAGCAGAUGAAGGACAGGAAGGGAACUGAGUCCAUUGCCUGUAGUUUGUAUUUGGCUGUUCAAGGCCGCUUUUGGCUAAAUGUCUUCUUUGCUUUGAACAAAAUGCUGUAAACUAGGAAGAUUUUGAUUUUCGACAUUACUACCCAUUGAUGAAACUAUAUAUUAAGUGCUCGACAACAUUCAGUGACGUUCAAUACUAAGCAUCUCCAAGAUAUUUUUAAACAUGAACAGUUCUAUAUUUUAAAGAGUCAACCUUAAAAUUAUGCUGUAAGAGACUUUUUAAAUUAAUAUUUUAAUUUAGAUGGUUGACUCUAUAAUUAAAUGCAUUUAAAGUAUUUCAAUUUUUUUUACAACCCAAAUAAGUCUUACAAAAUUAGCAUUGUUCUUCCUUAAAUUAAUCACUUAGUACAUAAGAUAAAUAGAAGCCCAACAAAUUAACAAAAAUGAAGUUUGGGCAAUGAGUUGUGACUUAAAAUAGGAAACGAGAUGGACCAGAAGACUAAGACUAUUCAAAGAAUACAAGGUCCAAUCCACCAUAGGUGCCCAACUCGGGACAUAUGCGUGACAAUAUCUUUUUUAUUGUUGUUUACUGGUUGUUAAUAUUAUUUAUUGUCUAAACUGGAUUCUGAACUAGUUACUUUAUGUUUCGAAGUCAUUCAAUCCCUCGAUCAAGUACUAAAAAUGAAUAUUUUAAGAUAAGACGAGAAGCUAACUUGGACACCAAAAUUUUGUGUAUCUAUCUUCUCUAAAUUUUGAACAAAAAUUUUAUUUUAAAUUUUCCUAUAAAAUUUGAAAAAAAAAAAAAAUUAUUUGCCCAAUACAAUUGAUUCGACAUAAGCUUACUCUAUUGGUCUAAAAAGUUUUAUUUGACCUUGCAAAAAAUGGUGACAAAACUAAAUUGACAUGAUGGACUUUCGUUCUUAUUUUCAAUUAUUUAGACUCGUCGUUAUUUCUGGUACGUUGAAUACUAUACAAAAAUUAUAUUGGUCAAUUCAACAUAAUCGUAUUGAGUUCCAUUUUUCUUGUGAAGUAUGAGCCACAAGCUGAGUUGCCAAACUUGAAAAUAUAAGCGAUAAUAUUCCAUGAAAGGUACCUUAUGGACCUCGUACAUUGACUAAAGAAUACAAAUUGAGGAAUCAAUAUUUAAUGGUCGUUUCAAAAAUGAAAACCUACACAUUUUCUCAUUAUGUAACCACGUGGCAAAACAUUGUAUCAUUAGAUUUUUUUUUUCCUUUAUUUUUUCCUAUUUUCUUUAAGUUGAUAGCGAAAGAGUAUAUAAGUAUAAUCAUAUUAAUCCAUCCCAUAAGAGUAUACUUGUUUUUAUUUUCACACAGAUUAAAAAAUGUAAUUAAUAUAAUUAAAAAUAUGUUUUUUCUUCUUUACAUCCUAACAAACACCUAUAUUAAAUAAUAAUUUAAAUGGAAUUAUUUCAUAUUUAUUGAUAACAAGACUUAUUAAGCCCUUAUUUUGUGGGGGUUAAAAUUAAAAUUUUUUUAAAAAAAAAAUUUGAAAUGUGUGGUUGAAAAAUUGUGGGACCCAUAAAAUGUGUGGUUAAUAUUAACUGUUUAACCCUGAUAUAGAUUAAAAUUUGAUUUAAAUCAAUACCAAACAAGGGCUAAAUAGAGUUAUAUUAGAAAAUUAAAAAAAAAUAAAUUAUAUUCUCGGCAAGUUAGGACAUAUAAUGUGAUAGAUGUAAAAUGAAAGAGAAUAUACCUUUAUGAGAUAAAGAAAAUAUCAACGUUCUUGAUAAUGAGGUUUAUUUUAUUGUUUUUGUUAAUCCAUAAUAAAUUUCUAUCAAAAUACGUGCAUAAUUGAAAAGCUAGUCAAUACAAUCUCGAAUCAAGCAAGUUUUUGCGAUCCCAUUUAGGUUUCCAAAAAAUGCCAUUCUUUUUUAUUCUUAAAAUUUCCCUAGUUAGUGAACACGAAGCUUACUCUAUUGUGCGUAUAAUUAUUAAAAGGUAACGAGUCCCAUAUGAAAUUUAGGAUCAGGAAAGCUACUUGAACUGAGAUUCAUGACAGGUAUUGCGUGUCAGUACCUGUAUGAAUCUCUCUCUCUCUCUCUCUCUCUUUCAAACUAUCAAAUGAAUAGUUGACACAUAUGCUUGUUUUUUAAAUUCUAUCAAUUAUCCAUGUUUGUGUAGCAAUAGGAUAAGACAUUAAUUUCAGAGGCCAUAUCAAUUUUUGGUGCUACAGUCUAAUAGUCUGUGGUUUAUUUGUUGUUUAUUAGGAGUAAUUAAUUUAUGAAUUUUGCUACACGCCGCGAAGGGGUCACCGAAUCAUAAGUGAAGGGACUGCAUUUGCUUCCAAAAAACUAUUUUAUUUUUUCAAAGAUCAAUAAAUGCUUGACACCUAUGUAUAUGUAAUACUAUCUACCAGAACUCUCGUACUUCAUCCAUCCCAUAAAAAUACAUUUAUUUUCAUUUUCACUCUAAUUAAAUAUAUAUAAUUAAUAUAGUUGAAAAUAUAAUUCUUUUUUCUUAAUAUAGUCUUACAUUAAAUAAUAAUUUAAAUAUGAGUAGUUUAUAUUUGUUAAUAACAAAGCAAAUUAGCGAUGCAUCCAAGGGAUUAUCGUUGAUCUGGCUGUGGAGAAGCGCACGAGAAUUAUUAGUGCUAGAACUAUAGCUCUCAACAAUCUUCGAAUAUCUCCCAAUGUCACUGCUGUGUUAACAUACAUGAAGGAGAAAUACAAGGAAUAUUUUCAACAUGGAGCAGAAGAGGGUGAAGUAAUAGUGGAUACCAAAUGGUUCGAGUCAAUGGUUAAUCUGAGGAUGCUCCAUUUCAGUAAUGUUCGACUCGAAGGAGAUUUUAAACAUAUGCCUGGUGCAGUGAAAUGGCUACAAUGGAAGAAAUGUUCACUCAGAAGUCUGCCUUCUGUAUUUUUGGACGGUGAAAUGGCUGUUCUUGAUCUCUCACAGAGCAAGAUUGAAAGUAUAUCGGGGUGGAAGUGGUUCUGGGAUAGACGAAAGGUAUGUUUCUGUUUCAUGACAUUUUCUGAGAAUUGCCAAAUUUAAAUAUGCACAUAAGUUUGCAAAAAAUAUUAAAGAGGAAAAGCAAUUGAUUUUACGAUUUUGGAUGAAAAAUCUUAUUGCUAUUAGUUCAAGGAUCUUUAUUAUUAUUAUUAUUAUUAUUAUUAUUAUUAUUAUUAUUAUUAUUUUUAAUUCAGUUAUGCAACAGAUUAUCUUUGAUGUAUCUAGUUCAUUUGGGAAAGAUAGUAACAGUGGAAUAGGCAUGUCUCAUUCUUUCUUGCCAUAUGUUUGAGGAGGCCGAAAGGGAUUUUGUUGAUUCUGAUUCAUCCAUUCUAGCCUGUAGCAGAGAAUACAUUUUCGGAGCCGCUCCUCCACCGUUCUUAUAUAUCUAUCACUCCAUAAAUCUAUCCCUAUUAAAAUUUUAAAUUUUAAGAAAGUACUAUAUUCAUUCAUAUCACAUUCCAAUUUUAUCUUUAUUAAAUUCAUUUGUUUAAACACUAUUUACCUGCACCAUUUUUAUGUGCCUAUGCUACUCUAAUUUAUCCCUAUUUAAAUUUUAAAAAUGUACUAUACUCAUUUUCAUUAUAUUCCAACACUACACUUAGAGCUUGUUUGCUAUAGAUUUUAAGCCAAUUUCAUCAUGCAUUGAGAAUUUGGUUUUGAUAAAGACUUUGGGAUAAGGACUCUAAUUCAUACACAACUUCAAGAUUUAACUCGUACAAAUUCUCCACGAGGUAUAAGCUCUUCAUAGGUUCAACAUAACAAUUAGAUUAUUGUUGUAUACAUUGGAAACUUGAGAGAAUUGUUUAGUUUUAUAUUGAGAGAAUUAAAUCUUGUGAAGACAAUUUUAGUUUCUUGGAAUAAUAAAGUCUCAUCUCAUCCUCUUCCACAAAAAUCUUGUUUGUUCUUUGAUCCAUUAUUUUUAUAUUAUUCAUAUUUACUCGUUCUUUAAUUAUUUGGUCGGAUUAUCAACAAUACUCGUGGUACUCCUCGUUUCUCUUCUCCAACAAAUGUAUUUGCUCUUGAAUAUCCUUGAUUUCCUGACUCUGCAUGCACACCAUGCGAUCCUCCCUCAUCUUCAAAGACACCGACCAAGCUCAGAGGCCUUUCUCUUCAAAAAUGAGGAUUCGGAAGCCAACCCUUUUGUUCUCUUCCAUUAACGACGUCAUUCAAAUGUCGCAUUAUCAUUCAAAAGAAUUAGGUUUCUAAUUCCAGUACAUCCAGCAAAUUCUGCUACAGCUCUAUCUUUCUCACUAAUUCACUCAACCGGUUCUCGGCUAUGCUAAGCUCAUUCAGAUUGAACUUCAUGGUUGACGUUCUACUAUGAUCAUAUCAGGAUCUGGCUCCCAAUAAAAGUGACUUGAAUGACACUGAACACCCAGCAUCAGAGUCUAUUGCUGGCAUCCCCUCUCCAUCAAACUGACUGUUAUCUUUGAAACUUAAGGGUGGGACCAGGGAGGAGUGUUGAAGUGAAUGACGUGUCAAAUUUCAAUCCAUUGGUGGAUUUUAAACUUAAUUCAAAUGUUGAAGCCCACCAUAAGUUUAUCCACCAAUGAAUUUAUAUGAUACCUCAACAUAAUGUUAAAAAUAUAAUAUAGAUUUAUUAUUAUUAUUAUUUUUUAAAUGGAUAGAUAUAAAAAAUGAUGGAUGAAAUAGAGGCUCCCUACAUUCUUCCCCUUUUAUGCAUUUUCACUAUUCUAGAAUAUUGUUUUUUCUUAAGCUUUAGAUCAACAAGGGUGUCUUCGAAAUUUAAACUAAGGUGAAGGAUUUUUGAAAAGAGUGCAGGUGUGGAAGAUAGAAAUUUUAUAAUCACUGCUUAUAUAGCAUCUUUGUUACCCAUUAUUAGAUCUUGCAUGGUAUUAAGCUUUUCAAUAUCAAUUGAAAUAUGUUGUUGCGUCUCAGUCUGCAUUGAAAUUGGGGUUGACUGAUGAUGUGAAUUAAGCUUUUAAUAUCAUUGUAACCAGUCUAGAUCAUUGAUGAAAGGUUUUGUAAUAUGAGCUUGGGCUUGUCACAACAAUAUAGUUACAAGAAAAUGAGACAGAAAAUGAACUAAGGAAGUGAUGAAUAAAAAAAAAAGGUUACUUAGUUAUGGACCUAUGAUAGAGCACGACACAUGCCUCUGCUAUAAUUAUCAUGAAUCACUAAAAUGAAGACAUCAAAUAUUUAAAGGUUCCAUUGUGCUUGAUUUUCUGUCUGUUUUAAUUCUCAGUUGAAAUGCUUGUAUUCCUUUUUAUGUUGACUAACAAUGGAAAAGUUUCUCUAUUUUUCAGGUGAAAAAUAAACUUAUUGUGUUGAAUCUCUAUAAUUGUUGUAACCUGACUGCAAUUCCUGAUUUGUCUGAGUACAAAUCCCUGGAAAAGCUGAUACUCGUGCUCUGCAAAAAUUUGAAAACUAUACACAAAUCAGUAGGUGGCCUGGACACUUUACGGCAUCUCAACUUGAGAGAAUGUUUGAGUCUUGUUGAAUUUCCAAGUGAUGUCUCUGGACUAAAACGUCUCGAGGUACUCAUUCUCUCUGGCUGUUCACAACUGAAAAAUCUACCUCGGAACAUUGGCUGCAUGAAGUCUUUGCAAGAACUUCUAGCUGAUAGUACUGCCAUAGAUGAGCUGCCUGAAACUAUAUUCAGGCUAACUUGUCUCGAAAAGCUUUCCCUAGACCAUUGCAAAUCAUUAAAACGACUCCCCAGAAGCAUAGAAAAGCUUAGUUCCUUAAGGGAACUUUCUCUUCUUGGUUCUGCAUUGGAAGAAUUACCUGAUUCCAUUGGCUUUUUAGGAAAUCUUGAGAUUCUAAAUUUGAUGCAUUGUCAAUCAUUAAUUGCAAUUCCAGAUUCCAUUGGAAAUCUCAAAUCAUUGGCUAAACUCUUGCUUAAUGGUAGUUCCAUAGAAGUUAUACCGGAAUCUAUUGGUUCACUAUACUAUCUGAAAGAUUUAUCCGUGGGAGACUGUAAACGUUUGCACACAUUGCCAGUCACUAUUGAAGGGUUGUCUUCAAUGAUUGCUUUUCAGUUAGACAGGACUUUAAUCACUUGUUUACCUCAUGAAAUUGGUUUUUUGAAAUCACUUAAGAAGCUUGAAAUCAGAGAUUGCAAGAAUCUUAGCAAACUUCCAGAAUCAAUAGGGAACAUGUCAGCCCUUCAUACAUUGAUCUUGAACAAAGCUGUUAUAAUUGAGUUGCCGGAAUCCAUAGGAUUGUUGGAGAAUCUGAUUGUCUUAAGAUUGAAUCAGUGCAAGAAACUAUGCAGAUUGCCUGCUUCAUUUGGAAACUUGAAAAACUUGUAUCACCUGUUUAUGGAGGAAACUGCCAUUACUGAAUUACCUGAAACGUUUGGGAUGCUUUAUAAUCUGAGGACGUUGAAAAUGGCAAAGAAGCCCUACGGCCAGGCCCCUCAGAUUUCUCUCGUAUCAGAGCCAGCUACUAGUGCAGAGAGAAAGAUAAUUCCAUCUUCUUUCUCGAAUCUUUCCUUG